This 238-nucleotide long non-coding RNA is filed under the name Zostera marina. RNAcentral describes it as "long non-coding RNA (ZMAR_LNC001361)". Lineage: Eukaryota; Viridiplantae; Streptophyta; Magnoliopsida; Alismatales; Zosteraceae. The record is from RNAcentral.
ACCGGGAUCACAUCAGACCUGGAGAGGGAGCUGGCCGUCGACGUUGUCGCCGGAGAGGAGUCCUCAAAUGCUAGAGCAAAACCCAACAUUGAGGAAGGAGCAAAGGACCUGGAUGCAAGUACAAGAAGGUCGGUUAGAAACAAGAGAGUGCCAAUUAAAUUCAAGGACUACGUUGCAAAUUUUCCAAUUUGAGUAUUGUAAUAAUUAGUAUAAAAUCCAAACCUAGGUUAUGAGACGG